Non-coding RNA from Neolamprologus brichardi, 2385 nucleotides. The record is from RefSeq and is a predicted model, not a curated record. NCBI's taxonomy places the organism in Eukaryota, Metazoa, Chordata, Actinopteri, Cichliformes, Cichlidae.
UCUGUUCAAGAAGGUGGUUCCCUACCACUGCCUGGGGGGGAUUUGGUCUCAGCGGGAUAAGAAAGGUAAGGAGCACCUGGCUCCCACCAUCAGAGCCACCGUGGCCCAAUUCAACUCUGUCACCAACUGUGUCAUCACCACCUGCCUGAGCAACCCGGCACUGAAGCCCAACCAGAGAGCCCGUCUGCUGGAGAGGUGGAUAGAAGUUGCCCGGGAGUGUCGAAUACUAAAGAACUUCUCCUCGUUGCGAGCCAUCCUCUCCGCCCUGCAGUGCAACGCAAUCCACCGCCUAAAGAGGACCUGGGAGGAAGUGUCACGGGAAAGUUUCCGAACCUUCCGCGAGCUGUCUGAGAUCUUCUCCGACGACAACAAUUACUCCCUGAGCCGAGAGCUGCUGGUGAAGGUGAGUCACAGCAACAGAUGUAAACAUAACUCUGAGGGGGUGCACAGUGAAAACGGAGGAGGUGUAUUUAGCCGCUGAAGGAAAAACCAUCUUCACAAUAAUACGCAGACAAAUCAGUUUAUGAGUUACAUAACAGUGACACGUGGCAGCUGAGCAGGCGGCGGGAGGAUGCACGGCUGGGUGACCCUUUACCGUCAGUAUCCUUCCUCACAACAGCUGCAGCCAAGCUUCCUGCACAUCAGAGCACCUUGUUCUGUUACUUUUGGACAACAGGAUCCAUAUACGAUGUCCAGGCUCUGUGCAGCUGACAGGUUGCUGUCAUCAUUAGUGCGAUAUAGUGGGUUUAACGCAGAGACGCGUUGACACCGUCAGGGUGUUUUGCAGCUCGUAUUGACGCAUUCAGUGGAAGGUCAGCAGGAGCUGAUUCAUUAAUUCAAGAUAUUUGAGUGAGCAGGAAAUGCGAUGACAGAUCAACAGGCUGCACAUGCUUUCCGCUGCUCGUCUUUACUCUUUGACUUUACUACAGAAGCUUUGCAUGAUUCACAGGUCAAAAUAAGGAUUAUUUUUCUUGCACAGGGGCUUUGCAUUCAUCCUCUGUCUGAAACAAGCUGUUUUAAUUCCUCCGCCUUUUACACCAACUCGCUUUUGAGUGGCUGCUGCUUGUGAACAGAAGGUCUGAAGAGCAGCAGGGAUGUUUGGCUUUUAUCGCAGGAUUUAGUUGCACUUAUGCGGCAGCGCUGUCCUUACAAUCAACACGUUUUUAAGGUGUCACAUUCUGACAUUUGCACGCUCAUAAAGACUCAAUUGUUAGGAAAAAGCUCAUAAUCAUUGUAAAUAAUUGCAGAACUCUUGCCUAAUGCACGAUAUUGACAUUUACUGGAUUGAAAAACAACCAUGUACUACGAUGCAGGACAGUCGGUGUAUGUGGGAGUUCGUGGUGAUGAGGAAUAUGGUGUGAUUUAUUUAUUUAUAUUUCAAUAGGCGUUGAUGAAAAUACAUCUCUAAGGCACAGGGGGAUAUAAAAAUAUACCCGUCUCAACACAUUCACUGAUGUUUUGGUGGAUUUUGAUGACAGUGUUCUUAUAAUUGAACAAACUAGGUCCUCUUGACCCUUGUGUAAGGUGAUCUUUCUUAGUGUUCAGUCUGCUGUGCUUAGUCAGAGUAAAGGUAGAGAGUGAAUUAUCACCUAUUUUUAACCUGAGACGUUUUCUGAUGUAAUGCUGAGUUAGUUAACACCCGCGGCGUCCGCUGAGGGAAUCCCUGCUGACGUCACAGGGAGGAACCCUUUGGCAGGUGUAGAUAACGGCUCCAAUGUGUAAAAGCAGACCUCAGGGCGUCGCCUCCGUCUAUCUGCUCGGGCCAGGCCGCGUUGACUCGACUCGCUUGGCUCAAGUUGCACGAAGCUCCAGAGGCCUCCAGGCAUUACAUCACUCUGAGGAAUGCGCAAGGAACGCCAAGGAGGUGGAUUUCCUCCCAGUUUUUACUUUGAGGUCGUGCAGAUGUUUUAUUUUUUAUGUCAGAACAGGUUUUAAAGAUCUAAUCUGCUGUAACGCAUAAACGAAGUAUAUGAAGGUUAAAAAGCUUUUGGAGAAAAACAUCCUUGAAGGGAGGUUCCUGGUUAAAAAUCGCCCCGCCUGCGUGUCUCUGACCUCCAGGCCAGCUGGAUGCAUUAGACAUGCUUUAAAUCACCAAACGGCACAUGUGUUUUCUGUGAACCGUAACCUCCUCAUGUUUUGAGCCAAUGAAAACAGAUGUGUGACACAUUCUGUGGUUAGAUUCGAUUUGUGUUGGAAAGCCAAAGACAAAAAUGUCUAAAACUUUAUUAGCUGUAUAUAAACUACAGGUAUCUUCAGUCAUAUAAAGAUCAUUAUAUGUUCUGCUACAGCUUCAUGCCAUGGUGUGUGUAUAUUAACAUUUUAUCAUGAAUGUUGAUUGAUAUUUUUGAAGAAGAGAUGAAGAAAUUAAUCAAUCAGAGGUAUUUA